GAUGAACGCUAGCGGCAGGCUUAAUACAUGCAAGUCAAGGGGGUAGCAAUACAACCGGCGCACGGGUGAGUAACGCGUACACAACAUACCAUAUACUGGGGUAUAGCUUUGGGAAACUGAAGGUAAUCCCCCAUAACAUUGCGAGAGGGCAUCUGAUUGCAAUUAAAGUUUCGGCGGUAUAUGAUUGGUGUGCGUUUGAUUAGCUAGUUGGUAGGGUAACGGCCUACCAAGGCGACGAUCAAUAGCUGGCGUGAGAGCGCGACCAGCCACACUGGAACUGAGACACGGUCCAGACUCCUACGGGAGGCAGCAGUAGGGAAUAUUGGACAAUGGAGGAAACUCUGAUCCAGCCAUGCCGCGUGAUAGAUGAAGGCCCUCUGGGUUGUAAAUAUCUUUUAUCUGGGAAGAAACACUCCUAUUCUUAGGAACUUGACGGUAACCAGAGGAAUAAGCACCGGCUAACUCCGUGCCAGCAGCCGCGGUAAU
RNAcentral lists this ribosomal RNA (486 nucleotides) under uncultured bacterium. RNAcentral's name for it is "bacterial SSU rRNA". It matches the Rfam family "Bacterial small subunit ribosomal RNA", at positions 28 to 524 of the family's 1533-position model. The record is from RNAcentral.